Molecule: long non-coding RNA, 1457 nt
Filed under: Nicotiana benthamiana
Lineage: Eukaryota; Viridiplantae; Streptophyta; Magnoliopsida; Solanales; Solanaceae
Description: long non-coding RNA (NBEN_LNC013852)
Source: RNAcentral
GAAGUUUUGAGGUGAAAAGUCUCACAAAACUUUCCAUCAUCAUAAGCAGAACUACACGAGCAUUAAUAUACAUUAACUCCAAUCAAAAUUAUAAAAAAAGAGAUGUCCAAUGGACUAUCACUAGCAUAAGGUAAUGUACAACAUAUACCAUUGAUCCAUCAUCAUAAGCAGAACUACGCAAACAUUAAUAUACAUUAACUCCAAUCAAAAUUAUCAAAAAUUGAGAUGUCCAAUGGACUAUCACCAGCAUUAGGUAAUGUACAACAUAUACCAUUGACCAAAAGAUCUAUUUACAUCAUAAAAUAAUCAAUUAGGACAUUCAGCCAGGUACUCAACAGUUAAGGCAUGCCUUCUUUUUAGCUUGUAUUUUCUGAGCAUGUCGUCGGCACUUGAUAAACAUUGAUUUAUGGUCAUAAAAAGGAGAUAAAAGAAUAAAGCUAACAAACUGUUGUGUACCCAAAAGAAUAUCUAACAGCUAAUUUUCACAAGAUCAAUUUCAAGCUCACAUGAGGUCCAAACAUAACCAUAAUGGAGCCAAUAAAAGCAAGAGAACUGAAUUCUGAAUUUCAACUUAAUUCUACUUAUCAACUUUUCUACUGGAAGCAGUUUUUAAAACUUUCUUUCCACAUAUGAACUGAACAUUUAAGUAGGUUAUAAGUUUAACCAAAUCUCUAUUUAACUGCUCACCUAAAAUGGUCAUCAUAGUAGGACCAUCUUUUCAUGACUCAAGUCCCAUACUUAUGAAGCACAUAUGUGAAAACAACAUAAAAGAAAAGAUAAAUGGUCAGUUCUUCGGGGGAUUAAGUCCUUUGACUACGUUAUCUAUGGUUACCUCUCCUUUUUUAGAAGGUAAUGAUUGUAUUAAGAUAAACUAAGAAAGUGCUAACAAAGUGUACAUCCGUAGCCAAACCACGAUUCAGACUGCAUCUCUAACCUAUUCCCAUAGGGCAUCUAUAAGAUCUAACCUUGAAAUUAACAAGAAACAAAAUAUUACUGUUCCGUAUUUUCAAGUAAUCUACCUUAAUAUGUCAAUACUGACCCAAAGGAAUAAGACUCAAUGAUUAGUUAUUUUAGUAAUAAUGGUCUAUGGGCCACUUUGCGUGCAUUUCAACUAAUUUAUUGGGUACCUGCUACCUCUUAGCAACAUAGGUAUGGGGUAACUCUACACCAAGGUUUAUAUAAAUAGUAGGACAUCACCUAGCAUUCAUUGCCUUUGCUGGAGUUUGAACCAAGCUUUGUCAUAGUUCAUUCUAUAUUCAUUGACCGCUAGGUCACACCCUUAAGUACGACUUGAUGCUAGUCAUAGGAAUAACAGCUAGCAUAACAACAACAACAACCCGGUAUAAUCCCACGUAGUGGGGUCUGGGGAGGGUAGUAUGUACACAGACCUUACUCUACCCUUGGGUAGAGAGGCUGUUUCCAAAUAGACCCUCGGCAUCCUUCCUUCCAAGAACUUC